Molecule: ribosomal RNA, 497 nt
Filed under: uncultured bacterium
Lineage: Bacteria
Description: partial 16S ribosomal RNA
Rfam family: Bacterial small subunit ribosomal RNA
Source: RNAcentral
GAUGAACGCUGGCGGCGUGCCUAAUACAUGCAAGUCGAGCGAACGGACGAGAAGCUUGCUUUUCUGAUGUUAGCGGCGGACGGGUGAGUAACACGUGGAUAACCUACCUAUAAGACUGGGAUGACUUCGGGAAACCGGAGCUAAUACCGGAUAAUAUUUUGAACCGCAUGGUUCAAAAGUGAAAGACGGUCUUGCUGUCACUUAUAGAUGGAUCCGCGCUGCAUUAGCUAGUUGGUAAGGUAACGGCUUACCAAGGCAACGAUGCAUAGCCGACCUGAGAGGGUGAUCGGCCACACUGGAACUGAGACACGGUCCAGACUCCUACGGGAGGCAGCAGUAGCGAAUCUUCCGCAAUGGGCGAAAGCCUGACGGAGCAACGCCGCGUGAGUGAUGAAGGUCUUCGGAUCGUAAAACUCUGUUAUUAGGGAAGAACAUAUGUGUAAGUAACUGUGCACAUCUUGACGGUACCUAAUCAGAAAGCCACGGCUAACUACGUG